Molecule: ribosomal RNA, 830 nt
Filed under: uncultured Bacteroidota bacterium
Lineage: Bacteria; Pseudomonadati; Bacteroidota
Description: bacterial SSU rRNA
Rfam family: Bacterial small subunit ribosomal RNA
Source: RNAcentral
UAAGCAUCGGCUAACUCCGUGCCAGCAGCCGCGGUAAUACGGAGGAUGCAAGCGUUAUCCGGAUUCAUUGGGUUUAAAGGGUGCGCAGGCUGUAAAGCAAGUCAGUGGUGAAAGCCCUGGGCUUAACUCAGGGAUUGCCAUUGAAACUGUUUUACUAGAGUGUAGUAGAGGACGGCGGAAUGAGUUGUGUAGCGGUGAAAUGCAUAGAUAUAACUCAGAACACCUAUUGCGUAGGCAGCUGUCUAUACUACAACUGACGCUGAGGCACGAAAGCGUGGGGAGCGAACAGGAUUUAGAUACCCUGGUAGUCCACGCUGUAAACGAUGAUCACUCGUUGUUGGCUACUUAGUAGUCAGUGACCAAGGGAAACCGAUAAGUGAUCCACCCGGGGAGUACGUCGGCAACGAUGAAACUCAAAGGAAUUGACGGGGGCCCGCACAAGCGGAGGAACAUGUGGUUUAAUUCGAUGAUACGCGAGGAACCUUACCUGGGCUUAAAUGCUGGCUGCAUUGGAGGGAAACCUUCAUUUCCUACGGGACCGCCAGCAAGGUGCUGCAUGGUUGUCGUCAGCUCGUGCCGUGAGGUGUCGGGUUAAGUCCCAUAACGAGCGCAACCCCUAUCGCUAGUUGCCAGCAUGUAAUGGUGGGGACUCUAGCGAGACUGCCGGUGUAAACCGGAGGAAGGUGGGGAUGACGUCAAAUCAGCACGGCCCUUACGUCCAGGGCUACACACGUGUUACAAUGGCCGGUACAAAGAGCAGCCACCUGGCGACAGGGCGCUAAUCUCUAAAACCGGUCUCAGUUCGGAUCGAAGUCUGCAAUUCGACUUCG